RNAcentral lists this long non-coding RNA (441 nucleotides) under Citrus maxima (pomelo). Its description in RNAcentral is "long non-coding RNA (CMAX_LNC003267)". Lineage: Eukaryota; Viridiplantae; Streptophyta; Magnoliopsida; Sapindales; Rutaceae. The record is from RNAcentral.
GGAGAUGCACUUCAUCCAAUGACACCAGACAUUGGCCAAGGUGGCUGUGCAGCCUUGGAAGAUGGCAUUGUUUUGGCUAGAUGUAUCAAUGAAGCCUUAAAGACUAAACAGGGAGUUGGAGAAGAAGAUGAGGAGGAAUUUAAUAAGAGGGUUGAAAUGGGACUGAAAAGAUAUGCUAAAGAAAGGAGAUGGAGAUGCUUCGAGCUCAUCAGUAUAGCUUAUCUGGUUGGUUCCAUACAACAAAGUGAUGGGAAGAUAUUGAACUUUUUGAGAGAUAAAAUCUUGGCUUCAUUCCUAGUUGGGUUGCUCUUAAAGAAGGCUGAGUUUGACUGUGGGAACCUCACCUCUACUUAAAUGCAAAUAAUUUUAAGUUUCAAUCAUAAUAAAGGAAUAAAAGCUAGAAGUUCUGCUUGAUCAGGAGCAUGUCUCAAUGUUUCAUCA